UUCUUGGGAAAAGCCAAAAUUGUUAUUUACAGAUGAAUUCUUACCUACAAAAUCCAAGAGAAUUAUUAGAAAACAAAGGUUCAGCGAAGUGACCACACAGAUCCACAUACCAAAACCCAAAUUAUCCUAGGGUACAAUAAAAGUCCAUUAGGAAGAACAAACAAACCAAAACAGCAAUAAAAACUGCCAGGAAAAAACCUAAUAAGAAAUGUGCGGGGGCGCCUGGGUGGCUCAGUUGGUUAAGCGACUGCCUUCGGCUCAGGUCAUGAUCCCAGGGUCCUGGGAUCGAGUCCCACAUCGGGCUCCCUGCUCUGCGGGGAGCCUGCUUCUCUCUCUCCCACUCCCCCUGCUUGUGUUUCCUCUCUCGCUGUGUCUCUGUCAAGUAAAUAAAUAAAAUCUUAAAAAAAAAAAAAAUGUGCAAACCACCAAGAAGAUUCUAAGACUUCAGCUGAACAACGAGGGAAGACUCGGAUUAACGGAGAAGUAUCCACAGUGCUGGACAGGAAAUCUCAAUAUUAUAUGAUACCAAAUCUGGGAAAACAAAUCCCAGGAAACCGUUGCCAUUUGGCGACGAUCCAUUACAGAAUUUCAAAUGGAAUCCCACACAAAUGCCGGAAAAACGCUGUCAUUUGGCGACCAUCUGUUACAGAACUCGGCCCUAGGGCUCCAGGUUCCGCACGUCGCCUUGGGAAACGCCCUCGAGGAGCCGGACAGCCAGCGCAAAGCCGCGCGGCCGGAAGAGGCCCGUGGCCCCGCCCCUCCCUGCGUCGUGGGCGGGGCGUUUCCGGCCUGCUGACGCCCCCGCGCGUCCCAGCCGCGCGCCACCGCGCCGUCCCACGUCCGGCUCCGCGGCAGCUGCCUGAGCAGGCGCCGGCCGCGGCUGUGGAGCUCGCCCCAAAUGGUCGCUUCCCCUGUUAUUUCCAGUACGUGAUGGUCGCAGUGGGAGCUGUGGCUGGAAAGGGGCCGCGUUGGCGUUUUCUUCCCACCUUCUCCUUCCCCCAAGCUCCCUAAAAUUGUCUCCCGACCUCUCGGUCACCCCCUGGGCCAUCCAACCCCUCUCCUCAGAUGAGGCCGCUUCCAGCGCUCCAGGUUUCCCCAGAAGUUACAGAAGAGACCCUGGAAUCAGACCUGGACUCUCCAGAGCAGUGAGGAGGAAGGCCCUGAAGCUUCACCUCUGGAAGGAGCUGCCAGGACCUCCUGCAGCACCGAGCGGAAGAGCUGGGACACCUCCUGCACCUGGGGCUCCUGCUCGGCCAGCAGCUGCCGGAACCUGUGCGCAGAGCAGGAGAGGUGCUGCGGGCUCCAUGCUAAGCCAGGAGCCCAGUGUGGGGCUUGAACUCACAACCCUGAGAUCAAAUCCUGAGCUGAGAUCAAGAGACAGAUGCUAACCAACUGAGCCAUCCAGGUUCCACAUAUAAGUGAGAUAAUACAGUAUUUGUCUUUCUCUGUCUGACUUAUUUCACUUAACAUAGUACCCUCAAGGCCCAUCCACGUUGCUGCAGAUGGCAAGAUUUCCCUCUUUCUUAUAGGUUCCGGGGCCUCAUCUCUCUGCUCCAGGCUGCUCUGUGCUCACCUCAUCCUGGCACAGCCCCAGUGCACCGUGACUGCCUGCAUGUCCAUCACCCUCUCCAGACCAAGUGAGAAACCAGGUCUUAGGCAUCAUCCUACCCAGCACCCAGCACCCAGCAGAGGGUCUGACCUACAGCAAGUGUGCAGUGGAGGUCCAUAACUAGGCUAGAACUCUCCCUAGGGAGUCCCUUCCCACUCCAAAACUUCUCACGCUUCCUAAGAUCCAUUUGGAGGGACUCAUCCUUGGGUCAAGCAUGGCCCCCUCAAAGGGCUUUUUUUCUUCGUCGUCUGGAUUUGCAUUUGAGCUGGAAGGAGGCAGCAAGAGAAUGGCUCAGCCAUAGAGGGUCCUCCUGUGGCAGGGGAAUACAGAAGAAAGAUGGGAGGCACUGAAGACAACUUUUAUCUCCACACCAAACUGGCCUCCACAUGUUGGCAGCAAAGCCACUCCAGGCCCGGUCAGGGCACCGCGCGUCUGCUAGGGCACUAGGGCAGUGCCUUGAACAGAACCUCACAUUCCCUGUGUCUAAAUAUUUGUAAGUUACAAAUUAGGUUAACAAACUAUUAAAUAAAAUACGUUUUGCUUUUC
This is a long non-coding RNA of Mirounga angustirostris (Northern elephant seal), 2155 nucleotides long. RefSeq lists it as uncharacterized. The record is from RefSeq and is a predicted model, not a curated record. The transcript has 7 exons. NCBI's taxonomy places the organism in Eukaryota, Metazoa, Chordata, Mammalia, Carnivora, Phocidae.